UUCUGGCGACCAUAGUGCGGUAGUUCUACCUGAAUCCAUUCCGAAC
This 46-nucleotide ribosomal RNA is filed under the name Actinobacillus minor 202. The record is from RNAcentral. Lineage: Bacteria; Pseudomonadati; Pseudomonadota; Gammaproteobacteria; Pasteurellales; Pasteurellaceae.